Molecule: ribosomal RNA, 486 nt
Filed under: uncultured bacterium
Lineage: Bacteria
Description: partial 16S ribosomal RNA
Rfam family: Bacterial small subunit ribosomal RNA
Source: RNAcentral
GAUGAACGCUGGCGGCGUGCCUAAUACAUGCAAGUCGAACGCUGGAAAUCUAGCUUGCUAGAUUGAAGGAGUGGCGAACGGGUGAGUAAUACAUAACCAACCUACCCACGAAGACUGGGAUAAUCUCUGGAAACGGGGACUAAUACCGGAUAGGUAAUCGGAAGGCAUCUUCUGAUUAUUAAAGGUUAAAAACACUGGUGGAUGGGCUUAUGGCGCAUUAGUUAGUUGGUGAGGUAACGGCCCACCAAGACGAUGAUGCGUAGCCGGCCUGAGAGGGUGAACGGCCACAUUGGGACUGAGACACGGCCCAGACUCCUACGGGAGGCAGCAGUAGGGAAUUUUCGGCAAUGGGGGAAACCCUGACCGAGCAACGCCGCGUGAGUGAUGACGGCCUUCGGGUUGUAAAGCUCUGUUGUAAGGGAAGAACGGUAGAUAGAGAAUAUCUAAAUGACGGUACCUUACCAGAAAGCCACGGCUAACUACGUG